This 575-nucleotide ribosomal RNA is filed under the name Aureobasidium proteae. RNAcentral describes it as "partial large subunit ribosomal RNA". It matches the Rfam family "Eukaryotic large subunit ribosomal RNA", at positions 1 to 670 of the family's 3401-position model. The record is from RNAcentral. Lineage: Eukaryota; Fungi; Ascomycota; Dothideomycetes; Dothideales; Saccotheciaceae.
GAACAUAUACGGGCCCAGUGAGCGGGCCAGCUCCAUUUGAAAGCUAGCCUUCCGGUUCCCAUUGUAAUUUGUAUAGAAAGAUUUGGGGAAGCCGCCUGUCUAACUUCCUUGGAACGGGACGGCUAAAGGGGGAGAAUCCCGCAUGUGACAGGAAAGGGCCCCCUAUGUAAAUCUCCUUCUACGAAUCAAGUUGUUUGGGAAUGCGGCUCUCAAUGGGAGGUAAAUUUCUUUUUUAGCUAUAUUUUGGCGAAAAACCGAUAGCGCACAAAUAAAGUGAUCGAAAAAUAAAAAGCCCUUUUUAAAAAAAAUUAAAAAACACGUGAAAUUGUUUAAAGGGAAGCGCUUGCAAUCAAACUUGUUUAAACUGUUCGGCCGGUCUUCUGACCGGUUUACUCACUUUGGACAGGCCAGCAUCAGUUUCGGCGGCCGGAUAAAGGCUCUGGGAAUGUGGCCUCCCCUUCGGUGGAGGGGUUAUAUCCCAGGGGGUAAUACGGCCGCCCGGGACUGAGGGCCGCGCUUCGGCUAGGAUGCUGGCGUAAUGGUUGUAAGCGACCCGUCUUGAAACACGGACCACA